AGUAAAAGCCAUGGACAGAGAAGUCAUUUCCAAAUUUGGAGGAAAGUUCUGGGCUCUUAUGGAGCAGAACAAGCUUACUGCUACCCCAGAGCAUUUGAGGCCCUGGACAUUGAGGAUUUCUGGAUAUUGGAUUUCUCAGCAAUGUUAAAGCCGCCUCAGUACUGGAGACUGAAUCCAGGCCUAGGGCUGUGCACAUGCUAGCCAAGUACUCUACAACGGAGCAUAUCCCCAACCCUAGUUACUUUCAUUUGUACAAGCCAGUCUCAAACUCAGGAUC
Long non-coding RNA from Dipodomys ordii (Ord's kangaroo rat), 277 nucleotides. RefSeq lists it as uncharacterized. The record is from RefSeq and is a predicted model, not a curated record. Lineage: Eukaryota; Metazoa; Chordata; Mammalia; Rodentia; Heteromyidae. The transcript has 3 exons.